GAUGAACGCUGGCGGCGUGCCUAAUACAUGCAAGUCGAGCGAACAGACGAGGAGCUUGCUCCUCUGACGUUAGCGGCGGACGGGUGAGUAACACGUGGAUAACCUACCUAUAAGACUGGGAUAACUUCGGGAAACCGGAGCUAAUACCGGAUAAUAUAUUGAACCGCAUGGUUCAAUAGUGAAAGACGGUUUUGCUGUCACUUAUAGAUGGAUCCGCGCCGCAUUAGCUAGUUGGUAAGGUAACGGCUUACCAAGGCAACGAUGCGUAGCCGACCUGAGAGGGGGGUCGGCCCACCUGGAACUGAGACCGGGUCCAGACCCCUAGGGGAGGCAGCAGUGGGGAAUCUUCCGCAAUGGGGGAAAGCCUGACGGAGAAACGCCGGGGGAGGGAUGAAGGUCUUCGGACCGUAAAACUCUUUUAUUAGGGAAAAAAAAAUGUUUAAGUAACUAUCCACGUUUUGACGGUACCUAAUCAAAAAGCCACGGCUAACUACGU
This 496-nucleotide ribosomal RNA is filed under the name uncultured bacterium. RNAcentral's name for it is "partial 16S ribosomal RNA". It matches the Rfam family "Bacterial small subunit ribosomal RNA", at positions 28 to 506 of the family's 1533-position model. The record is from RNAcentral.